GGCCAGACUCCUACGGGAGGCAGCAGUGAGGAAUAUUGGUCAAUGGGCGCGAGCCUGAACCAGCCAAGUCGCGUGAGGGAUGACGGCCCUACGGGUUGUAAACCUCUUUUGCCGGGGAGCAACGGGCGCCACGUGUGGCGCCACUGAGAGUACCCGGAGAAAAAGCAUCGGCUAACUCCGUGCCAGCAGCCGCGGUAAUACGGAGGAUUCAAGCGUUAUCCGGAUUUAUUGGGUUUAAAGGGUGCGUAGGCGGUCGGAUAAGUUAGAGGUGAAAUCCCGAGGCUCAACUUCGGAAUUGCCUCUGAUACUGUUCGGCUAGAGAGUAGUUGCGGUAGGCGGAAUGUAUGGUGUAGCGGUGAAAUGCUUAGAGAUCAUACAGAACACCGAUUGCGAAGGCAGCUUACCAAGCUACUUCUGACGUUGAGGCACGAAAGCGUGGGGAGCAAACAGGAUUAGAUACCCGCGUAUG
RNAcentral lists this ribosomal RNA (469 nucleotides) under uncultured bacterium. Its description in RNAcentral is "partial 16S ribosomal RNA". It matches the Rfam family "Bacterial small subunit ribosomal RNA", at positions 329 to 793 of the family's 1533-position model. The record is from RNAcentral.